This is a small nucleolar RNA of Malania oleifera, 108 nucleotides long. Lineage: Eukaryota; Viridiplantae; Streptophyta; Magnoliopsida; Santalales; Ximeniaceae. The record is from RefSeq and is a predicted model, not a curated record.
AAACUGUGGUGCGGGCAUAUGUUCAUCAAGUCCUUGAAUCUCUCCUAACAUACCUGGAAUGUCUCGCCAUAUUUUUGCAUGAACUGACUUAUCUGCUCCUGCAAGUAC